RNAcentral lists this ribosomal RNA (298 nucleotides) under uncultured eukaryote. Its description in RNAcentral is "partial 18S ribosomal RNA". It matches the Rfam family "Eukaryotic small subunit ribosomal RNA", at positions 1470 to 1796 of the family's 1831-position model. The record is from RNAcentral.
CCCUUAGACACUCUAGGCGGCACGCGCGCUACAAUGGGUGGAAGAACGUGUUACUGCCUCCGAAAGGAGGGGUGAAUCACGAAUUCUUGCCCGUGAAUGGGAUAGUUUGUUGCAAUUUUCGGACUCGAACUAGGAAUCCCUUGUAAACAUGCUCAAGAAUAGCGUGUUGAAUACGUCCCUGCCGUUUGUACACACCGCCCGUCGUUUCUUCCGACUGAUACUCAUUGUGAGUUGCAAGGACCCUUUAUUGGGAAAUUGCUGCAAAUGCUUUGUAUUGGAGGAAGAAAAAGUCGUAACA